GCCUUGGUGGUGUAGUGGUAGCGCGUAUGCGUGCCGGAUAGGACAAAACGCGGGUUCGAUUCCCAGCUGAGGCC
This is a non-coding RNA of Parelaphostrongylus tenuis, 74 nucleotides long. Lineage: Eukaryota; Metazoa; Nematoda; Chromadorea; Rhabditida; Metastrongylidae. The record is from the annotation of a GenBank genome assembly.